Molecule: non-coding RNA, 45 nt
Filed under: Schistosoma curassoni
Lineage: Eukaryota; Metazoa; Platyhelminthes; Trematoda; Strigeidida; Schistosomatidae
Source: RNAcentral
AUCCAUCUAACGAGCCCCAAACAGGACGAAAUGCGCGUCCUGAAU